Molecule: ribosomal RNA, 458 nt
Filed under: uncultured bacterium
Lineage: Bacteria
Description: bacterial SSU rRNA
Rfam family: Bacterial small subunit ribosomal RNA
Source: RNAcentral
AGCGAACGCUGGCGGCAGGCUUAACACAUGCAAGUCGAGCGGGCGUAGCAAUACGUCAGCGGCAGACGGGUGAGUAACGCGUGGGAACGUACCUUUUGGUCGGAACAACCCAGGGAAACUUGGGCUAAUACCGGAUAAGCCCUUACGGGGAAAGAUUUAUCGCCGAAAGAUCGGCCCGCGUCUGAUUAGCUAGUUGGUGAGGUAACGGCUCACCAAGGCGACGAUCAGUAGCUGGUCUGAGAGGAUGAUCAGCCACAUUGGGACUGAGACACGGCCCAAACUCCUACGGGAGGCAGCAGUGGGGAAUAUUGGGACAAUGGGCGCAAGCCUGAUCCAGCCAUGCCGCGUGAGUGAUGAAGGCCCUAGGGUUGUAAAGCUCUUUUGUGCGGGAAGAUAAUGACGGUACGCAAGAAUAAGCCCCGGCUAACUUCGUGCCAGCAGCCGCUAGCCGCAGUAAG